ACAUUUACCUUAAACCUAUUAAAAUUAAGAAAAAUUUGAAUCGCUAUAACUCCGAAGAUAAUAACUUUGGAUCAAUGAAUAAACGAUCAUUAGAAGCGCGGUACUUUGCCCUUUAAAACACUUUUUCAUUUAUCUCGAUAUGAUUUCCGGUUCCCGAGAUAUCGUCGUGUAAAGAGAAGGGUAAUUUUUCAUCGUUUACUAUCUCCGUCUCUGUCGCUUAUCCGAAUCUCUCGCUCGCACCUCGCCUCACUGACCUAUCUCAAACUCCAGACGAGUGACAGACGCGAUUCUUGGAAAAAAACGUAGGAUGCAUUUCCAGGUAAGUGUAUAGGUCAUUGACCGCGCCUAUUCCUAUCUUACGCUAUGUUACGCGCUAUGGAAACUUCGAAUGCUUAUAUCUCGGCGACGGAUUGAGAUAUCAAGAUGAAUCAAAAACUGACUCGAUUGGCAUGAUUUCCUCUACUUUUCCAAUUGGUUUUGAUCACAAAAUUUUAAAUCCUUUCUCGGAUUAUUUACAUAAAAAUUGGUUUUAUACUGAUGUACAACGAACAAUAAUAAACACAACGAAACGAUCCAUGAUGAUGCAAGAUACGUAGAACGAGGAAAAUUUUAUCAAACAAAAAGGCGUUAUUAUCUGUACAAGUAGCGACAUAUAUGGUCACGAACUUAUGGUUCAAGGCGCGUAUACGCCGUGAUCUACGAUACACAGACCACUUUACAUUUAUUGCUUGAUUCACAGUCCCCGUGUGCGGUUGGUAAUCGGCGCGUUAGCCUACUUGGGUGCUCGCCGAGAGGGCAGAACUUUAAACGACGAAACACGUAAUUUUCACGACGUGGUGGAAGCUUGGGUGGUGAUUCGACUCGGUGUGCACGCCGUGAAGACGCCAACGAUGUCGACAACGAUAAACUGAAGCUCGUUAACACCAGUAGUGAGCCUGCUUGUACGAGAUACGCGGUGGAUCUGUGUGCAGAUACGUAGAAGUCGUAGGUAUCCAGCAUCCUUGGCCGUGCACACACCUCCAAGGCUUUGUCCACGAGGCGGAGACCGUAAAACGGAGCUGGUUAAAAAAGAAGCGGAACGAAGCAAAUCGAGAUAACGUUACGAGCGACACGCUUAUGGCUUUUUCAUGCACUAUAUCGAGACUCGGGAAUAAAUUAAAAAUUAUUCCACGUGUAAACGAUUAAAUGGAGCUAUUAACCUUACCUCUUAUUGAAGAAGCGGCUCUAUUGCAUUUUUUUUAGUGCUAUAAUCAUAUGAAGGAAAGACAUACAGAAGUAAGAGAAGAUGAAUUUCAUUCGAAAGAAGAAUUGCUAUGGAAUACUAAUGAAAGAGUGAAGAUAGAUUGGAAUACUAAUGGAAGAGUGAAGAUAGAUUUUUAUUAGAAGAGUUUAGAAUCUUUUAAUCAACGAUUUUGUUAAGAUUUUAUACUAAAUAAAAUAAAUGUAAUAAAUAUAAUAAAAUAAAUAAAAUUUCAAUAUUA
Apis dorsata (giant honeybee) is the source of this 1481-nucleotide long non-coding RNA. RefSeq lists it as uncharacterized. NCBI's taxonomy places the organism in Eukaryota, Metazoa, Arthropoda, Insecta, Hymenoptera, Apidae. The transcript has 2 exons. The record is from RefSeq and is a predicted model, not a curated record.